RNAcentral lists this ribosomal RNA (370 nucleotides) under uncultured organism. RNAcentral describes it as "partial 16S ribosomal RNA". It matches the Rfam family "Bacterial small subunit ribosomal RNA", at positions 527 to 896 of the family's 1533-position model. The record is from RNAcentral.
AGAGGGUGCGAGCGUUAAUCGGAAUUACUGGGCGUAAAGGGCGCGUAGGUGGGUAUAUCAGUUGGUUGUGAAAGAUCCGGGGCUUAACCUGGACAGGUCAUCCAAUACUGUAUACCUAGAGUGCAGUAGAGGUAAGCGGAAUUUCCGGUGUAGCGGUGAAAUGCGUAGAUAUCGGAAGGAACAUCAGUGGCGAAGGCGGCUUACUGGACUGAGACUGACACUGAGGCGCGAAAGCGUGGGGAGCAAACAGGAUUAGAUACCCUGGUAGUCCACGCCGUAAACGAUGAGUACUAGCCGUUGGGUCCUGCGGGACUUAGUGGCGCAGCAAACGCGCUAAGUACUCCGCCUGGGGAGUACGGCCGCAAGGCUA